GGGGACGUAGCUCAAUUGGUAGAGCGCCUGCUUUGCAAGCAGGAGGUCGUGGGUUCGAUUCCCAUCGUCUCCACCA
Molecule: transfer RNA, 76 nt
Filed under: Acidimicrobium sp.
Lineage: Bacteria; Bacillati; Actinomycetota; Acidimicrobiia; Acidimicrobiales; Acidimicrobiaceae
Also listed under: 7 other names
Description: tRNA-Ala
Rfam family: tRNA
About the family: Transfer RNA (tRNA) molecules are approximately 80 nucleotides in length. Their secondary structure includes four short double-helical elements and three loops (D, anti-codon, and T loops).
Source: RNAcentral